RNAcentral lists this ribosomal RNA (689 nucleotides) under uncultured bacterium. Its description in RNAcentral is "bacterial SSU rRNA". It matches the Rfam family "Bacterial small subunit ribosomal RNA", at positions 8 to 692 of the family's 1533-position model. The record is from RNAcentral.
AGAGUUUGAUCCUGGCUCAGAUUGAACGCUGGCGGCAUGCUUUACACAUGCAAGUCGAACGCGGCCGAGGGGCAACUCUUGGCCGAGUGGCGAACGGGUGAGUAAUACAUCGGAACGUGUCCCGUUGUGGGGGAUAACCCAUCGAAAGGUGGGCUAAUACCGCAUACGCCCUGAGGGGGAAAGCGGGGGACCUGAGAGGGCCUCGCGCGAGGGGAGCGGCCGAUGUCGGAUUAGCUAGUAGGUUGGGUAAAGGCCGACCUAGGCGACGAUCCGUAGCUGGUCUGAGAGGAUGAUCAGCCACACUGGGACUGAGACACGGCCCAGACUCCUACGGGAGGCAGCAGUGGGGAAUUUUGGACAAUGGGGGCAACCCUGAUCCAGCCAUGCCGCGUGAGUGAAGAAGGCCUUCGGGUUGUAAAGCUCUUUCGGCCGGAACGAAAUCGCAUCUCCUAACACGGGGUGUGGAUGACGGUACCGGAAGAAGAAGCACCGGCUAACUACGUGCCAGCAGCCGCGGUAAUACGUAGGGUGCGAGCGUUAAUCGGAAUUACUGGGCGUAAAGCGUGCGCAGGCGGCUCUUUAAGUCAGAUGUGAAAGCCCCGGGCUUAACCUGGGAACUGCGUUUGAAACUGGAGAGCUUGAGUGUGGCAGAGGGAGGUGGAAUUCCACGUGUAGCAGUGAAAUGCGUA